UGGGGAAUUUUGGACAAUGGGGGAAACCCUGAUCCAGCCAUUCCGCGUGAGUGAAGAAGGCCUUCGGGUUGUAAAGCUCUUUCGGCAGGAACGAAACGGUCGUCGCUAACAUCGAUGGCUAAUGACGGUACCUGAAGAAGAAGCACCGGCUAACUACGUGCCAGCAGCCGCGGUAAUACGUAGGGUGCGAGCGUUAAUCGGAAUUACUGGGCGUAAAGCGUGCGCAGGCGGUUUGAUAAGACAGAUGUGAAAUCCCCGGGCUCAACCUGGGAACUGCGUUUGUGACUGUCAGACUCGAGUGCGGCAGAGGGGGGUGGAAUUCCACGUGUAGCAGUGAAAUGCGUAGAGAUGUGGAGGAACACCGAUGGCGAAGGCAGCCCCCUGGGUCGACACUGACGCU
RNAcentral lists this ribosomal RNA (400 nucleotides) under uncultured bacterium. RNAcentral describes it as "bacterial SSU rRNA". It matches the Rfam family "Bacterial small subunit ribosomal RNA", at positions 355 to 747 of the family's 1533-position model. The record is from RNAcentral.